CAGAUCUACUCGCUAGAGAGUAGAGGCACAGGCGCACAGCGGCAAUGCAAUGCCAUCAUAAACCCGUGCAGGUGAGGUGCAAGGCCCUGGCUUUCAUUGAUGGGAGAGGUAGAAAAUAGUUUAACGCCAGCUUUUCUCUUGUGCAGGGUUUUCUCUUGGUAUGGUACUGUACUUGCUGGUAAAUUGCAUUUUCAACGCAAAAGGUAGGCGCUGGUUACAGAAAAGGCAGCGAGCCCAGUCCAAUGGAUGACAAAUUGACCGGCGGGCCGAGGCUACAGCACGGGUGGGGUGGAGUUUAGUAGCUGCUCUCGCAGAUAAUCCCAGUCCUCUUUUUAUAUUUCAACUGUGAUGGAUAGGUCCACAUGGAAUGGUGGUGAUGGAAAGAGCAAGUUGAGAUUCUUGCUGCGUCCUCAGGGCUGGGCAUUUGAUUAAGGUUAUUAGCUCUGUCCAGUGCUGUGGAUCUAGCGGCAGUAAAUUUGUUUAAUUAAUUAACCAGGGAGGACAGAUUUGGCCAUGUUUCUGGCAAUCAUGCCUUCUUGUUCUCAUGAUCCACGAGAGACUUUGGGGGAAAGCUUGCGGUGGCUCCUUGUGCUUGUCACUUCUCAGGUUUCUACUAUUCUAAACUGACUGUAAUGCUGACAGUGAUCUCUUCCUCCAUUUUUUAAAACGGAGGUAAAAUAUUUGCCUCAUGUAUUAAAUAAGGAGGACAAAGAGUUUGUUACAACACACAACCAAGUUAUGGCGUGGCAAUUAUUCGCGCAAUAAGAAAGACCCUAGCUUCUUUGCCCCGGUUCUGAUCCAAAGAUUGGCCUCAUCAAUAAUGAAGUUGAGCAAGAUUUGCGGAGGUGCGCUCUUUUGCCGGAACACUCUUGCAUUACGCUCGUUCCAAAUGAUCCAUGACACCAUCAUGGUGAUCGAUGCCUUUGUUUUUCGGUCGACGAUGCCCACGGCGCUCGUGCUCGCCCACCACGCCUUAACGGAGUCAAACAAGUGCGAGGCGGACGUGUCGAAGUUUUGGAUGCGGAAUUUCUGAUUCACCAAGUUCCAAAGCGUGAGAGUAUAACGACAUCUAAAGAAAAGAUGUGGACCACAUUCCUGUACGCCCUGCAAGGGGGCAUGGGCCAUAGUUUGGCCAUCCACGCUUAACCAAUCUAUCAGCCGUCCAGAUCCUGUCUUGAAGCGCAAGCUAG
This 1190-nucleotide long non-coding RNA is filed under the name Hordeum vulgare. Its description in RNAcentral is "long non-coding RNA (HVUL_LNC018483)". The record is from RNAcentral. Lineage: Eukaryota; Viridiplantae; Streptophyta; Magnoliopsida; Poales; Poaceae.